This 408-nucleotide ribosomal RNA is filed under the name Deltaproteobacteria bacterium. Its description in RNAcentral is "bacterial SSU rRNA". It matches the Rfam family "Bacterial small subunit ribosomal RNA", at positions 1 to 389 of the family's 1533-position model. Lineage: Bacteria; Pseudomonadati; Myxococcota; Myxococcia. The record is from RNAcentral.
UAAUUGGAGAGUUUGAUCCUGGCUCAGAAUGAACGCUGGCGGCGUGCCUAACACAUGCAAGUCGAACGAGAAACUCCGGGCUUGCUCGGAGAAGUAAAGUGGCGCACGGGUGAGUAACGCGUGGGUAACCUGCCCCUGAAUCUGGGAUAACUUCGCGAAAGCGUUGCUAAUACCGGAUAUUGUCCCUUUUGCUGUGGCUAGAGGGAUGAAAGGUGACCUAUUCAUGAAAGUUGCCGUUUAGGGAGGGGCUCGCGUACCAUUAGCUUGUUGGUGGGGUAAUGGCCUACCAAGGCUGCGAUGGUUAGCUGGUCUGAGAGGAUGAUCAGCCACACUGGAACUGAAACACGGUCCAGACUCCUACGGGAGGCAGCAGUGAGGAAUUUUGCGCAAUGGGGGAAACCCUGACGC